Molecule: unclassified non-coding RNA, 344 nt
Filed under: soil metagenome
Description: partial contains 5.8S ribosomal RNA, internal transcribed spacer 2, and large subunit ribosomal RNA
Rfam family: 5.8S ribosomal RNA (bases 1-120)
Source: RNAcentral
GAUGAAGAACGUAGCGAAAUGCGAUACGUAGUGUGAAUUGCAGAAUUCAGUGAAUCAUCGAAUCUUUGAACGCACAUUGCGCCCUUUGGUAUUCCAAAGGACAUGCCUGUUCGAGCGUCAUUUGUACCCUCAAGCUUUGCUUGGUGUUGGGCGUUUUUGUCUUUGGCCCGCCAAAGACUCGCCUUAAAAUGAUUGGCAGCCGGCCUACUGGUUUCGCAGCGCAGCACAUUUUUGCGCUUGCAAUCAGCAAAAGAGGACGGCAAUCCAUCAAGACUCCUUCUCACGUUUGACCUCGGAUCAGGUAGGGAUACCCGCUGAACUUAAGCAUAUCAAUAAGCGGAGGA